AACCCAUUGUUACAUUAUUAGACGGAAAGACCCCAAGAGCUUUUUUUGUGUUAGAUUUGUUUGGGGUAAAUGUAGAUUAUUCAUUUAUUUUUAGAUCCUUCAUGGAUAAAGGAUAAAGUUACCUUGGGGAUAACUGAGUAAAGGGCAGGGAGAGGUCCUAUUGAUCUGUUUAUUACUACCUCGAUGUUGGCUUGUUGAACCUUUUCGGUGUAGAGGCUGGAAAAGGAAGUCUGUUCGACUUUUAAAUCUUCAUGAGUUGAGUUAAGACCGGUGUAAGCCAGGUUGGUUCUUAUCUAUAAUUGGUUCUAGUUAGUACGAAAGGAUUAUUAGGAUACAGUGUUUCUGUACACAUAGGAAUAGAAAGAAUACA
Molecule: ribosomal RNA, 370 nt
Filed under: Schistosoma mansoni
Lineage: Eukaryota; Metazoa; Platyhelminthes; Trematoda; Strigeidida; Schistosomatidae
Description: partial 16S ribosomal RNA
Rfam family: Bacterial large subunit ribosomal RNA (bases 14-300)
Source: RNAcentral